RNAcentral lists this ribosomal RNA (262 nucleotides) under uncultured bacterium. RNAcentral describes it as "partial 16S ribosomal RNA". It matches the Rfam family "Bacterial small subunit ribosomal RNA", at positions 524 to 784 of the family's 1533-position model. The record is from RNAcentral.
UACGUAGGGGGCUAGCGUUGUCCGGAAUCAUUGGGCGUAAAGCGCGUGUAGGCGGCCAGGUAGGUCCGCUGUGAAAGCCCGAGGCUCAACCUCGGGGAUGUCGGCGGAAACCAUCUGGCUAGAGUUCGGGAGAGGAGAGUGGAAUUCCCGGUGUAGCGGUGAAAUGCGCAGAUAUCGGGAAGAACACCCGUGGCGAAGGCGGCUCUCUGGAACGAAACUGACGCUGAGACGCGAAAGCGUGGGGAGCGAACAGGAUUAGAUA